Cygnus olor (mute swan) is the source of this 2731-nucleotide long non-coding RNA. RefSeq lists it as uncharacterized. The record is from RefSeq and is a predicted model, not a curated record. Lineage: Eukaryota; Metazoa; Chordata; Aves; Anseriformes; Anatidae. The transcript has 5 exons.
AUAUGCCAUACACAUCACAUUCACACUCAUGUUACCCCUGAUCAGCAGUUGUCAUCCAGACAUCUCUGCCAAGGCUGGGCUGUGAGAGCACCCCCAAAAUUGCCUCAUCUUAAGAGAAAACAUGAGCGCAGGUCAGCUUAAAUUCUUAUGGACCCCUUCAUCCAUUUUUACAACAGGAUAUCCCUAAAAGGGAUCACAGAUCUCCAGUCUGAAGUCACUCAGAUCAGUCAAGUGGAAAUUUGCCAUUGACUUGGAAGAACCAUGGCUCAAACAAAGGUCUCCUCCGUCUUCACAAUGGAUGUCAAGACAGAUUGUCAGGGGAAGAGUAGUCACGGUCAAACCAGAAGGAAAAAAUAAGAGUGAACAAAGAAAAUUAAGUGAUGAUCUGAGCUCCCUCUGGAUCCAUCACAUUCUCACAAGCAUUUCUCUGAAUGUACUUAAACAAAUUGAGAAAGUACAAUGACAAUUAAAAUAUGCUGGAUGCCUAUUUUUACUGCUGUUUUACAGGAAGUAGAAAAUAAUGUGGUACGACUGAAUUUAUUUAUUUAAAAUCCACUGAGAAAUACUUUGAACUGUGAAAAUGAAAUGGGAAUUGCAGUAAGCAAAAUUAGAAAGAAUCAGAUCUUAUAAUCAGCAGUAUAAUACCUACAUGGCAUUUUACGACAGAUUUCAUUUUGUGACUUGAACAAAACAAACGGUUCAAUAAUUUUUGAACUUGAUGGAUGCCCAAGGCAAUAUGAUAUGUAUCUAAACAUUUGAUAUCUAAGAUCUAUCUAAACAUUUACAAAAGUUUUCAAAGGCUUACAUACCUUUAAAACAUACCCCAUACACCUAAAUCACUUAUGCAUGUUUAAAAAAAAUAUAUCAUCAGGCUUAGGUGCGGAACUUAAUUCCAAGAAGCUAACCUGGAAUAAUUGUUUAUAACUCUGGUGUGGAUUUGUAUAGAGUUAGUAAUUGCCCUGUUUUAUAUUAAACAGUUUUAAAAAUGAAAUUACAAUGUCUGCACAUGGAAGAUAUGCACAGACAUCUUAAAGAAAUGCUGUUGAACUGAAGUAAUUUAGUAGUGAGAAUCAAAAACAUUCUGGGAACUAGUAGGAAGUUGGUCUCUAUCCUUAGAUGGAUUUUGUUAGUUAAUUGGAUACUUCAAAUUAUGGUCUAUCUAAAUUCAAAAUACAGAAUGAUGAAGAAAAUACAUGAAGAAAAUGUCUUCCUCAGAGCAGCCACAACUAAUUUUGUUCACCGAGCUUAAAUCCUAAGUUUUAAUUGACAUGUCUGUUGCAUGCCUAUUUGCAGGUGGUGGUGUUAUUGCUAAACUUAUACCCAUCUGUCUUAUUAAGCCCAUUUCUUUUUCCAUAAUGAUUGUUUGUAGCACUAGUUCUCCAUGUCACAUUCAGCAUGUAAUUUCAGGUUAUGGUAAUUCAAGAGGCAAAAGACUUACUUAUUUUCCCAGAAGAAGAUAAAUUGUGAGGAAAAAUAUCCUAAAAUAUUAUGUUAAUACAAGUGGCCCCAGAUCUGACCCAGACAAUUCUGAUACUUGUUAGAUCCACAUUCUGCCCACUGUUCGCUGAUUCCCCCAGGAACUACACAGUCUGCUCUGUCAGCGGUUUGUGUAGGAUCAAGGUCUGGCUCAAACUUUUCUUUAUUUUUCACAGAUGGUUCUAUUGUUUUCAGCAUGAGAGUGGCCUCAUUGCAAGUUAGAUAAGUGUUGUAAGGGUGAAUAUAUCUGGGGGUCCUGAUCUGGAAACAAACAAACAAACAAACAAACAAACAAAAAUAACAUAAAUCCUUUCCCAGAGCCAUGAAUUUACGUCUGAUUGUGGGAAACAAAAAUAAAAAUUGUUUGUACCACAUUUCCACAAUUCCUGAAAAAUGACAGGACAUUUUGCUGUCUGUGUUGUUACCAUCAGUUGAGAGAGAGAGAGAGAGAGAGAUAAAAUGAGGGCAGAGGGGCAAGUAAAAUAAUUUCAGAUCUAAUUAUUUUUCCUUAAAUCCAGGCGAAAAUCAGUGUAAUUUCAGUACAACCCUCUCCAUAAUGACAAAGUUAAUUCUUUAGUUUACUGAAAUGCAGAUAGCUUGUCCCAGAGUUUCCCAUCUCACUGGCUGGCUUUGGUAUUUUCCAGACAAGACAAGCAAUGGAGAUGAUCUGGUUCAGAAACAUUGACUUCCUCUUCCUUUCUCUUUGAUAUCACCCAUGUACUGAUUGGUAGAAUCCUAACAAUCACCUGAGCCAGUCAGGUCCUUGGUUUUGCAGCAACAGUGCCAGAGAUUUUAACUUUCAAACUGCAACAAUCCUAGACUUGUUGCGUAGGAAAUCUAUAUCAAACCCUUUAAUAUCUUUUUGGAAUGUCAAUCUCUAUAUUGUACUUGCUUUGAUAAGACUUAUUGUGUCCAUUCCUUUUGCAGAGUACAGUCAUAGUGAAAAUUCAGGAGCUUGUGUUUCUUCUUUUCCCCUUUGAAUGGAACACACCUUUAAGUCUAUCAACUUGUAGGCUUACAUUGUUUUAAGUAACAGUAGACUAGAAAUUUAAAACCAUAUGCUGGAUCAGAUUCCUUUCAAAUAAGGUCAAUGCAUGGGUUAGUAUUGUACUGAAUUAGUAUGUUACCCUGACCAUUAGAAUUAGAGUUUGCGUAAAACAAUAGGUCAAGUAAAUUAUGAAAAAUUGUCUCUUAUUUUAAAUAAUAUUAUGUUCAAUGGUGGAAAAAUAUUUUUUACAGAUGGUGAUUCUUCCAG